CACUCCUAUCGGAUUCCAGCAGCCUGAAAGCAUAACCAAGACAUUGCUCAACUUCUAUCUACCCACAUGGAGGACACGAAAAAUGAGCAACUUUCAAAAACUAAAAUAUUUUAUGAUGCCAAACAUUGAUUAGAUUACCUAAUAUAUACAUAUAUGAUUCAUUCUUCUAUUUACAUUAUCCCAAGCCUAUAUGAUUAGAAGUUAGAACGUAUAAGUACCCUAUCUCAGCUGUCUUCAAUGGCGACUGCGCCCGGUGACGACAAUGGUCGUUUUGGAUGAUAUCCUUUGAUGAAAGACCAUACUUAGCAAUAACGGACAACUUUAACCAUCAUACGAAAGCAAUAUUACAAAAUCCUCAUAGCAAUUCCAAAAUUCAAAAUAUAAAAAUAUAAAAUUCAAAUAAUCCACUCAAAGAUAGCCACUGCCACCACACAACAGAAGAACAUAUACAUUUACGUGUCUCGUUUGAGACAAUAUAUACUAAUAUAGAUUUUCUUGAAGAACAGAUGUGUACAUACCUUUUCAUUUUCGCUUUCUAGUGCAGACGGGUGAACCCAAAAUACCUAAGCAUCGCAAGUCAAAAGUGCAAUAGAGCAUAGAGCAGACAUAAGCAGUGUAUAUAUCGGCUAAUAUAG
RNAcentral lists this long non-coding RNA (635 nucleotides) under Salvia miltiorrhiza (redroot sage). RNAcentral describes it as "long non-coding RNA (SMIL_LNC004971)". The record is from RNAcentral. Lineage: Eukaryota; Viridiplantae; Streptophyta; Magnoliopsida; Lamiales; Lamiaceae.